AGAGGAAUAGCUGGGUCAAAUGGUGGAUCCAUUCCCAGCUUUUCAAGGAAUCUCCAUACUGCUUUCCAAAUUAGCUGCAGUAAUUUGCAGUCCCACCAGCAGU
This 103-nucleotide microRNA precursor is filed under the name Marmota monax (woodchuck). Lineage: Eukaryota; Metazoa; Chordata; Mammalia; Rodentia; Sciuridae. The record is from RNAcentral.